This 1626-nucleotide long non-coding RNA is filed under the name Homo sapiens (human). Its description in RNAcentral is "non-protein coding lnc-DYDC2-4:1". Lineage: Eukaryota; Metazoa; Chordata; Mammalia; Primates; Hominidae. The record is from RNAcentral.
CCAGGACAUCCCUGACUCUGAGACAUGGGACUCAAUAUUCAGAGACGUGGCCAUAGAAUUCUCUCCAAAGAGUGCAAAUGCCUGGCCCCUCCCCAGUGGAAUUUGUAUAGAGAUAUGAUGUUAGAGAACUAUAGAAACCUGGCCUUCCUGGCUAAUGUAUUCUUAUUACAACCAAGGCCUUUCACCUGAGCAAGGCAUAGACGAUUCAUUCUAAAAAGUGACACUGGGAAGAUAUGGGAGCUGUGGCCUUAAAAAUGUACACUUAUGGAAAAAUUGUGAAAGUGUGGGUGAAGGUAGAGGGCAAAAAGAACGUUAUAAUGUACAUAGCCAAUAUUAGACAACUACUCAUAACAAAAUUUUAACUGUGAAAGGAGAUCAAAAACAGAAUAUUACAGAAGAAGGCUCAGUUUAUGUUGGCUACUUCUACAGAAGCAUAUGUUUCUGUAAGUAAAUAUCAACAUCAAUUUUUGAAGUCCAUCUGUUGUAAUGAAAAUCAGAAAAACUUUAACCAUGACUCAAAAAUUAGUAAGCAUCAGAGUACUCAUUUUCUAGAAAAUGAUUAUAAAUGUAAUGAAUGUGGGAAAGUAUUUUAUUGAUCCUCAAAAUUUAUUUUUCAUCAGAGUAUCCUAUUCCAGAAAAGCCUGACAACUGUAAUGAAUAUGGUAAAACUUCUAGCCAGUCCUUAAAACUUUCUCAACAUCAAAUAAUUAACAUUGGAGAGAACUCACAAAGAUGUAACAAAUGUAUAAUAGUCUUUAGUCAGUCAUCACAUCUAAAUAGACAUAAGUUAAUCAACACUGGAGAGAAAUCAUUCAGAUGUAAAUAAUGUGGCAAAGCUUUUACCUGGGACUCACAUCUUAGACAACAUCAGAAAAUCCAUACUGGAGAGAAACCCUUCAAAUAUAAAGAAUGCACAAAGCCUUUAACCAAUAUGCACACUUUAUACAACAUCAGAGAAUUCACACUGGAGAGAGACUUUUUAAAUGUAAAGAAUGUGGAAAAGCUUUAAACUGGGGCUCACAACUUACUCAACAUUAGAGACUCCAUACUGGAGAGAAACUUUUCGAAUGUAAAGAAUGUGGCAAGGCCUUUAACAGGCACUCAAACCUUACUUAGUAUCAGAUAAUUCACCCCAGAUAAAAACCCCACAAGUAUAAAGAAUGUGCCAAUGCCCAAAACUAGUGCUCACACCUUACUCAACAUUAGAAAAUCAAUUCUAGAUAGAAAUCUAAUACAUGUAAUGAUUUUGAAAAAAAUAUUUGCUCAAGAUAUAUACCUUAGAAAACACCACAUUAUUUAUGCUAAAAAACAUUUUUACACAUAUAAAGCAGUUAUCAAAGCCUUUAGCUGUUGCAUAAAUCUUACUUGACAGAGAGUUCCCAUAGCAGAGAACCCAUACAAAUGUAAUAAAUGUGAAAAGACCUUUAUCCAAAAUAUAUACCCUAGAAAACAUCAGAGUUUAUGCUAGGAAGAAAUUACAGGCUCAAUAAAUGUAGGAAUGUAUUUAAUAAAAAUUAAAGUCUAAAUUAAAAUCAGAAGAAUCGCCCUAGAAAGAACUAAAGUAAUAACACUUUGAGACAUUACUCUAAAUCAGAGUGGUUAUUACAGAGAAUAAUCCAAACUCAA